RNAcentral lists this ribosomal RNA (465 nucleotides) under uncultured bacterium. Its description in RNAcentral is "partial 16S ribosomal RNA". It matches the Rfam family "Bacterial small subunit ribosomal RNA", at positions 28 to 507 of the family's 1533-position model. The record is from RNAcentral.
GACGAACGCUGGCGGCGUGCUUAACACAUGCAAGUCGAACGGAAAGGCCCUGCUUGCAGGGUACUCGAGUGGCGAACGGGUGAGUAACACGUGGGUGAUCUGCCCUGCACUUCGGGAUAAGCUUGGGAAACUGGUCUAAUACCGGAUAGGAGCCAUCUUUAGUGUGGUGGUUGGAAAGUUUUUUCGGUGUAGGAUGAGCUCGCGGCCUAUCAGCUUGUUGGUGGGGUAAUGGCCUACCAAGGCGGCGACGGGUAGCCGGCCUGAGAGGGUGUACGGCCACAUUGGGACUGAGAUACGGCCCAGACUCCUACGGGAGGCAGCAGUGGGGAAUAUUGCACAAUGGGCGCAAGCCUGAUGCAGCGACGCCGCGUGGGGGAUGAAGGCCUUCGGGUUGUAAACUCCUUUCGCUAGGGACGAAGCUUUGUUGUGACGGUACCUAGAUAAGAAGCACCGGCUAACUACGUG